UUCCGUAGGGGUAACCUGCGGAGGGAUCAUUACACAAAUAUGAAGGCGGGCUGGAAUCUCUCGGGGUUACAGCCUUGCUGAAUUAUUCACCCUUGUCUUUUGCGUACUUCUUGUUUCCUUGGUGGGUUCGCCCACCACUAGGACAAACAUAAACCUUUUGUAAUUGCAAUCAGCGUCAGUAACAAAUUAAUAAUUACAACUUUCAACAACGGAUCUCUUGGUUCUGGCAUCGAUGAAGAACGCAGCGAAAUGCGAUAAGUAGUGUGAAUUGCAGAAUUCAGUGAAUCAUCGAAUCUUUGAACGCACAUUGCGCCCUUUGGUAUUCCAAAGGGCAUGCCUGUUCGAGCGUCAUUUGUACCCUCAAGCUUUGCUUGGUGUUGGGCGUCUUGUCUCUAGCUUUGCUGGAGACUCGCCUUAAAGUAAUUGGCAGCCGGCCUACUGGUUUCGGAGCGCAGCACAAGUCGCACUCUCUAUCAGCAAAGGUCUAGCAUCCAUUAAGCCUUUUUUCAACUUUUGACCUCGGAUCAGGUAGGGAUACCCGCUGAACUUAAGCAUAUCAAUAAGCGGAGGA
RNAcentral lists this ribosomal RNA (571 nucleotides) under Alternaria sp. BAB-5129. RNAcentral describes it as "eukaryotic LSU rRNA". The stretch from base 198 to 351 matches the Rfam family "5.8S ribosomal RNA". The record is from RNAcentral. Lineage: Eukaryota; Fungi; Ascomycota; Dothideomycetes; Pleosporales; Pleosporaceae. RNAcentral also lists the same sequence under 1 other name.